RNAcentral lists this long non-coding RNA (814 nucleotides) under Betta splendens (Siamese fighting fish). Its description in RNAcentral is "lncRNA (ENSBSLG00000022300.1)". The record is from RNAcentral. Lineage: Eukaryota; Metazoa; Chordata; Actinopteri; Anabantiformes; Osphronemidae.
GAGUCUGCCAAAGAAAACCAAUCAAAUGAUAGCAUGGCGUCAACAUCAACUUUAGCUAGUUUAUCAGCAUGAUACAGUACUGUAUGUAGAUGGUGGAAAUUAAGAGUACUUUACUAAAAUACAACAUAAAGUACAACUUAUUCUUCUUUUAUUAGCUUCCAAAGGCUUCCAUUAGGCAUAUUAGUCUUAAACAAGGCAAAUGAUGUAGUACAGAGUUGCUAGCUGCUAAACCGUAGCGGCUAGUCCUGUAUGCUAACGUCGGCUAGAAUCGGCUGAGCUCGUCGUCCUGAGGAACACGCGUGGACGGGGCAGACUGUUCAGCCCAGAAAAAACCUCCAUAGGAUUAAAGGCCAGAGGAAAUGACCUGCUUACUGAUCACAUCACCCUUCUGACAGACCCGGGAUCAGCCGUCUACUUCAUACAGAAUGUAAAUAUCGGGAAAUGGCUGUGAACUCCACCACCUCCUUCGUAGACUGUCCUCCGUGAAUCAAGUUAAAGUGCAACAGCACAACCUGGUGGAGUGAACUCACUUUUCUUUAUGUCUUCUCUAGAGGGGCUGAUGUUCAACGCGUUGUCAAAGUGCUUCAUGCAGCACAAACUGUUCCUCAGCCGUGCGUUUCUGGCAGAUGACUCAUUAAGACGGGAUGUUUUUUUUUAAUUUUCCCAACAGCUAACUGAUGAGGUGAUACAUGCUGUAAUGGGGCAUCCAUAAAAUUGCAGCUGCAGGACCAGUAAAGUGUGAGAGAGAGUUUUGAUUUGAUGUAUUUAGUAAAAUGAAAUAUGCACAAAAAAUAAAGACAUUUUUGCUCUUUCA